This is a long non-coding RNA of Ipomoea triloba (trilobed morning glory), 622 nucleotides long. RefSeq lists it as uncharacterized. Lineage: Eukaryota; Viridiplantae; Streptophyta; Magnoliopsida; Solanales; Convolvulaceae. The record is from RefSeq and is a predicted model, not a curated record. The transcript has 2 exons.
UCCAUCUCUCUCUUCUCUCACGCAUCUCUCUCUCACUCUCAAAAUCCUUCUCCAAGAAGCAAGAUGAAGAACACUAGUCAUCUCCUUCUUUCUUAAAAACUUGGUAAGGUUCCUUUUUCUCUUCUCCAUUUCUUUCUCCAUUAGGAUGGAUUGUGAUGUUAUUUUGUGUGGGUUUGUUGUGGUUUGAGGAAAGGGUUUGAUGUUAUGGUGGUGUUUUUGGCUUGAGAAAAGAAAAGGAGGGUUUAGAAGAGAAGAUUAAGAGAUGGAUUUUUGGAGCUUUAGCUAUGGAGGAUUUGAAGGAAGUGACUCGUUUUGAGAGCGCGAUGUAGAGCUAGUUGUCAUUGGAGUUGUCUCUUGGUUUAAACGGAUUAGUUUACAAUCCAAAUUGUUGUAUUAUAGUUGAAUUUUAAUCUAGAUAGAAAAUUGUUGUAAUAUAGAUUGUAGUUAGAAUGCUGGUAGCCUUUGCGUUUGGGUUUAGUGAGUUGGCCCGAGCGUGGCAUAACAACCCUGUGGUUAUAGUUUGGUUUUGCUUCCGCAUUUAUUUUCAAUAUGGUUAGUAAGAAAGAUAGUUUGUUUUGGCGUAUUCAAGCUUAUAAAAUUUGGGGGUGUUACACACGGUCUC